UAUCUUUUGCGGGGGAAUUUC
Molecule: microRNA, 21 nt
Filed under: Macacine gammaherpesvirus 4 (Rhesus lymphocryptovirus)
Lineage: Duplodnaviria; Heunggongvirae; Peploviricota; Herviviricetes; Herpesvirales; Orthoherpesviridae
Description: rlcv-miR-rL1-2-3p
Gene: rlcv-miR-rL1-2-3p
Source: miRBase by way of RNAcentral